Molecule: ribosomal RNA, 465 nt
Filed under: Vreelandella stevensii
Lineage: Bacteria; Pseudomonadati; Pseudomonadota; Gammaproteobacteria; Oceanospirillales; Halomonadaceae
Description: partial 16S ribosomal RNA
Rfam family: Bacterial small subunit ribosomal RNA
Source: RNAcentral
CCUACGGGCGGCAUCAGUGGGGAAUAUUGGACAAUGGGGGGAACCCUGAUCCAGCCAUGCCGCGUGUGUGAAGAAGGCCCUCGGGUUGUAAAGCACUUUCAGUGAGGAAGAACGCCUGGUGGUUAAUACCCAUCAGGAAAGACAUCACUCACAGAAGAAGCACCGGCUAACUCCGUGCCAGCAGCCGCGGUAAUACGGAGGGUGCGAGCGUUAAUCGGAAUUACUGGGCGUAAAGCGCGCGUAGGUGGCUUGAUAAGCCGGUUGUGAAAGCCCCGGGCUCAACCUGGGAACGGCAUCCGGAACUGUCAAGCUAGAGUGCAGGAGAGGAAGGUAGAAUUCCCGGUGUAGCGGUGAAAUGCGUAGAGAUCGGGAGGAAUACCAGUGGCGAAGGCGGCCUUCUGGACUGACACUGACACUGAGGUGCGAAAGCGUGGGUAGCAAACAGGAUUAGAUACCCGGGUAGUC